Triticum urartu is the source of this 122-nucleotide non-coding RNA. The record is from Rfam. Lineage: Eukaryota; Viridiplantae; Streptophyta; Magnoliopsida; Poales; Poaceae.
UUGAUACUCACCCCGUCCCGAAUUACUUGUCGCAGAAAUGGAUAAAAACGGAUGUAUCUAGAACUAAAAUACGUCUAGAUACAUCCAUUUCUGGGACAAGUAAUUUCAGACAGGAGUAUUAG